AGUCGACGAAAGAGGGAAAGAGCUUGCUCUUUCCGGAAUUGAGUGGCAAACGGGUGAGUAACACGUAAACAACCUGCCUUCAGGAUGGGGACAACAGACGGAAACGACUGCUAAUACCGAAUAAGUUCCAAGAGCCGCAUGGCCCAUGGAAGAAAAGGUGGCCUCUACCUGUAAGCUAUCGCCUGGAGGGGUUUGCGUCUGAUUAGCUGGUUGGAGGGGUAACGGCCCACCAAGGCGACGAUCAGUAGCCGGUCUGAGAGGAUGAACGGCCACACUGGAACUGAGACACGGUCCAGACUCCUACGGGAGGCAGCAGUGGGGAAUCUUCCGCAAUGGGCGAAAGCCUGACGGAGCAACGCCGCGUGAGUGAUGACGGCCUUCGGGUUGUAAAACUCUGUGAUCCGGGACGAAAAGGCAGAGUGCGAAGAACAAACUGCAUUGACGGUACCGGAAAAGCAAGCCACGGCUAACUACGUGCCAGCAGCCGCGGUAAUACGUAGGUGGCAAGCGUUGUCCGGAAUUAUUGGGCGUAAAGCGCGCGCAGGCGGCUUCCCAAGUCCCUCUUAAAAGUGCGGGGCUUAACCCCGUGAUGGGAAGGAAACUGGGAAGCUGGAGUAUCGGAGAGGAAAGUGGAAUUCCUAGUGUAGCGGUGAAAUGCGUAGAGAUUAGGAAGAACACCGGUGGCGAAGGCGACUUUCUGGACGAAAACUGACGCUGAGGCGCGAAAGCGUGGGGAGCAAACAGGAUUAGAUACCCUGGUAGU
Molecule: ribosomal RNA, 763 nt
Filed under: uncultured bacterium
Lineage: Bacteria
Description: bacterial SSU rRNA
Rfam family: Bacterial small subunit ribosomal RNA
Source: RNAcentral